AGUUUCGACCUCAUUUGGUCACCGAAAACUGUACCGAACUGUAAUCUUUAUCAGAUAACUGUCGGAUUUUAUUUCUCACUCUACGGGUGUCAGAAAAAUAUGAAACUUUAAAUCUAGCCUCAUAAAAAUAUUUCUGACUUAUCCUCCAAUUUUCAUAAUUUUCUGAGACUGUGCAUUUUCUGCUAAUUUAUCUGUCCCGUUUCCAACAGAAAAUUCUAGAUCUUCUGUUUUCAUUCCGAUUUCAGCACAAGUCACUUCUGACUUAUGUUUUACUUCUACAAAUCCAAUAAAAAUAGUUUCUCACACUAUUUUUAUUUAUUUUUAUUUUUAUACCAAAAUCUGGUAUGUUACAUUCUCCACCCCUUAAAAGAAUUUCGUCCGCGAAAUUCAAACCACGCCUCAAUUCAGCUCCAUGAGCAAUUGAGGGUACCAACUCAUUCUCCCACUCCAAAGCGGCUUCACACAAUCGUGGUUCCAGAAGCGGCUCAUACUGAAGGACAUGGGUUUAAUCCUAAACGCAUUUGCAAAGUGUGAUACAAACGUGCAUCACGGGUCUUGCAAGUCAUAGUGGCAGCGCAAGUCGGUACUCGACGACUCUACGCGCUCCAACACCACUCACCAUUCGAUACACAAAGAACUCUUCUUUGCACUUACCUUCCCUUCAGGGAAUACAUUCUGAUUCGAUCACCGACAUUGCUUAGAAGCAAUAUCACCGAUGCAUCGCUCCGUCAUGAGUGCUCUAAUUUCGCACUGACCCUUAACUUUAACGCGAGAUGGCCCACUUCGGCACAUCUCAAGUCUCAGUUCGCUUACGAGCAUAGUCUCCAACAUCACGUGGCUUUCCACUAGAUUGAUGUCUCACAAGGAGUACUUCAUCAUCUGAUACCACAUGCCACGAUCAACAUCAAACUAUUUUCGCAACGAGCUCACGCGAGCGCUUCGUUCGUGAAUUCGAGUCAAACUCCUCGAUAAGGCUAUCUGCCAAAUCGCUCUCUUCGGUCUCCACAGGUGGACCAAAGGCCACCAAUCCUACGUAGGCCUACCACCUAAACCUGUCUCAAUACGCAGCGUCUCUCGCUCGCAAAUGCAGACCCAAUCAUGAUCGGGCGAAAUUCUCACUUGGGAAUUCGCACACACUCCAACCAGGAGCAACUAAGACCCCAAACCACGUCAAGUCCUCGGGUUGGGUCACAACCAUACUCGGUGUACCAUCGGUCACACAAUCUAUCACGUGGCAUUCCACGCUCCCGGGCCUAAACUCGGACUACCGUCCUGACCAGAACUCUGCCCUACCCGUAGGUACCGGGCCGCUGUCACUCACAGCUGACUGCGCCUGCCCAAUGGGCCCAGGCUCCACAGUCCACAAAUGGUCCAGGCACGGGUCGUCCCCAAGCACUACCCGCCGUCGUCGUCCUACACGACAUACUCUACCGAGUCACACGUACCAAUAUCGGCUCCUAUGCACCUAGUGCGAGUCACCAGUCCCACGAGUGAUCCAUGGCACGCUUCACACCUAGCAAUGCUCAAGUGCUACUGCCAAUACACUCUCUCGGCUGAAUCCACAUCCGCACUCUACGGGUAUCUACACUCGAGCGCUCUACGCCUCUACAGCGUUCCACACGAAGUCCAGCAUUAGGCAAUCUUGCCUAUGCACACCGGCCGCACGAGCACAACCGCCUACCUCACCUUGAGGUACUACUAGGCCCACGUGCUCAAACUUGGCCACUAAUCGACCGUUCUCUCAACAGUGAUGCUACUUUCACUGUUCGAUCUACCGGACUGACAUCCGAAAUUUUCGGACUACUCGGGUGUUCUCAUAAGCAUCAUGGCUCAACUCUCGCAAUUUACUAUUCAUAAUUGCUCUGAGAGUCGUUUCGCCACUUCUAUCUCUACCGCGAGUCUCACUUCUCGCCAUAGAUUACUUCUAGCACUUCGCUAGUGCCAUCUGGCUCUAUACCUGUACUGGCAGGUACUACGCCCUUACAUAAUAUAAAACUCCAUUUCUAGAGCAAUCAAAUCUAUCUCUAGAAAUCCACCAUGAGAGAGUGCUUAGAAGCUUACCUCUCCAAGAAGCUCCAACCAAGGAGAAGAUGAAGAAGAUGAGGAAGACCUCCUUCUUCUUCUCUUUCUUUCCUUUCCUUUCUUCUUCCUCUUCUUGUCUUCUAGAGAGAGAAAGAGAGAUAUGAGAGGGUGUGUGGGUGAGAAAUAAGAGAAAAGAGCUCUCAUACCCCUCACAUAGCCCCACAUGUUGCAUAAGUGCAAACAAACCCCUCAAAUUUUAUUCUUUUACAUUGCCCUCACUGGGCCACUUUCGGGUUCGGGGACCGGUCUUCCCGACGAGGGACCGGUCUCCGAGAGCUUCUCCCCGCAGUCAGCAGAGCUCACACCCGAUGCAACCGGUCUUUCUUUGGGGGACCGGUCUCUCAGGGACCGGUCUCUCCAGCAGGGACCGGUCUCCGAGCGUUGUCCACCAGGGACUUAGCCGAUUUUUUUUUCUCUCCUCUUGCUGCCUGCGCGUUCGGGGACCGGUCUCUCCCGGCAGGGACCGGUCUCCGAGAACAGAAAACUUGCAGUUUGUAGAUCUUCAUUUCCAAGGCUCUCGAAGAUCCCUAGUAAUGCACUUUUGCAUUAUUNUUUGACGCCUUCGGCCUUUCCAAAGCGUACCAACCUCGCUCUUUGGUCAAUUUGACCAAGGUUCGAUACUUGGUUACUGAAAUUUCGGUAUAUUACAUACCCACUCGAUAACUAGCCGAUCCCGGACGAAGUCCAACUCUCGGCUCUCGAGAAUUCACUUCGUUACAACCAUACUGUACCAGUACACCCCUGGUGUUAAACUGGUAACACAUAUUCCAGGAUUUCGGUUUUGCAUCGCUUCGACACCAAUUCAUGCCGAGCAACGCUAAAACUAUUCUAACUCUUUUAGAACUCAAUUCUAACCCUUCCAACAAUAUUGGAAUGUCAAUUGGACUUUGUCCAACUACUUCUCUCGACGCACUUUGGUCAAUUUGACCAAAAGUGAUCUAACACGAUGAGGAUUCCUUUAAUUUCUCAAAGAUCAUGAGAGACGCCAAAACUCGUGUAGUUCCCAAUCUCCGCACGCCUCAAAUUGCCCAGGGACACCACUUGGCCCAUCCCGCGCCGAUCUAAAAGAAGAUCGCCUACGCGGUGCUAUCGCUUCCUAAAACGCGACAACUCUCCGAAUUUUCUGCUAAUUUAUCUGUCCCGUUUCCAACAGAAAAUUCUAGAUCUUCUGUUUUCAUUCCGAUUUCAGCACAAGUCACUUCUGACUUAUAUUUUACUCCUACAAAUCCAAUAAAAAUAGUUUCUCACACUAUUUUUAUUUAUUUUUAUUUUUAUACUAAAAUCUGGUAUGUUACAUUCUCCACCCCUUAAAAGAAUUUCGUCCGCGAAAUUCAAACAACACCUCAAUUCAGCUCCUCGAGCAAUUGAGGGUACUAACUCAUUCUUCCACUCCAGAGCGGCUCCACACCAUCGUGUUUGAGAAGCGGCUCAUUCUAAGGGACAUGGGUUUGAUAUUAAACACAUUUGCAAAAGGUGAUACAAAAGUGCAUCACGGGUCUUGCAAGUCAUAGUGGCUGCGCAAGUCGGUGCUCGACGACUCUACACGCUCCAACACCACUCACCAUUCGAUACACAAAGAACUCUUCUUUGCACUUACCUUCCCUUCAGGGAAUACAUUCUGAUUCGAUCACCGACAUUGCUUAGGAGCAAUGUCACCGAUGCAUCGCUCCGUUAUGAGUGCUCUAAUUUCGCACUGACCAUUAACUUUAACGUGAGAUGGCCCACUUCGGCACCUCUCAAGUCUUAGUUCGCUUACGAGCAUAAUCUCCAACAUCACGUGGCUUUCCACUCGUUUGAUGUCUCACAAUGAGUACUUCAUC
Molecule: long non-coding RNA, 3902 nt
Filed under: Ananas comosus (pineapple)
Lineage: Eukaryota; Viridiplantae; Streptophyta; Magnoliopsida; Poales; Bromeliaceae
Description: long non-coding RNA (ACOM_LNC039711)
Source: RNAcentral